GACGAACGCUGGCGGCGUGCUUAACACAUGCAAGUCGAACGGAAAGGCCCUGCUUUUGUGGGGUGCUCGAGUGGCGAACGGGUGAGUAACACGUGAGUAACCUGCCCUUGACUUUGGGAUAACCUCAGGAAACAGGGGCUAAUACCGGAUAGGAGCUCCUGCUGCAUGGUGGGGGUUGGAAAGUUUCGGCGGUUGGGGAUGGACUCGCGGCUUAUCAGCUUGUUGGUGGGGUAGUGGCUUACCAAGGCUUUGACGGGUAGCCGGCCUGAGAGGGUGACCGGCCACAUUGGGACUGAGAUACGGCCCAGACUCCUACGGGAGGCAGCAGUGGGGAAUAUUGCACAAUGGGCGGAAGCCUGAUGCAGCAACGCCGCGUGCGGGAUGACGGCCUUCGGGUUGUAAACCGCUUUCGCCUGUGACGAAGCGUGAGUGACGGUAAUGGGUAAAGAAGCACCGGCUAACUACGUG
RNAcentral lists this ribosomal RNA (468 nucleotides) under uncultured bacterium. RNAcentral's name for it is "partial 16S ribosomal RNA". It matches the Rfam family "Bacterial small subunit ribosomal RNA", at positions 28 to 507 of the family's 1533-position model. The record is from RNAcentral.